AGGUGUAACGUCACGCAUCAGACCUCUGAUCAGGGAAGACUACCCGCUGAGUUUAAGCAUAUCAAUAGCCGGGAGGAA
This 78-nucleotide ribosomal RNA is filed under the name Orthodicranum montanum. Its description in RNAcentral is "partial 26S ribosomal RNA". Lineage: Eukaryota; Viridiplantae; Streptophyta; Bryopsida; Dicranales; Dicranaceae. The record is from RNAcentral.